UGGCUUAACAGAAUGACAUUGAUUCGCACUGAACGUAACUAAUCUGCACAAGACAUGUCCAUUUUAUCAUUUUUAAAAAUUACAAGGCUGAAGCCCACUGCAGUGGGUGGCAAUGCUGGAAAAUCCAACAAGUCAAACACAAUUAUAUCGGAAUUUGACUCUUCUGAAAUGAAUGUGUCGAUUUAAAAGGAAAAGUAAGGAGAUUGCAAAAUUACGAGAUGAAAUUGUAAUCACAUGCAUGCACAAGUAAAACAAACUACAUAAUUGUUUCAAACCUCAACCAUCAAUUUUCAAUCAAUGGCUAUAGCUUCAUUCUGUCACUAUCUCCUUCAGUCAUGGUUCACUCCAUCAAUUUUCAAUCAAUGGCUUAGCUUCAUUUUCUUUCAGAGGUGCUCAACAAGGUUGUAGAAUUUUCCUCAAACUGGCCAUCCUUUGUUGGUGAGACCAACUAUUUCCACAGUUUGGGCCAUACUGACUUGUAGGUACAGUACAGAACUUACACAUAUAGGUUUACCAUUCUGAUCGUAUAUUGAAGUAGACGGAAUAUACAAAUUGAAGAUGCACUGAUAUUAUUGAUCUUCUCUGUGGAAACUUCCCAACGGAGGUAGUCACAGAAAAUACGGAAAUGUAAACCGACACAAACUGCAGGAAACUAACAAACCUCUAGGACAUGGAGAGCCUACUCUCCCAAACCAAACCACUCAACAAACCGAAUGAGGUGCUUUCUUGUUCUUAUUCUACUUAAAUACAUCACACUUACAUAAUUUAGGCCUAAAAUACUAGGCACUUACACGUAACAUACAUUAUAAUAGGAGGUCUACUAACACAUUCACUUAAGCCACACUUUGACGCAUCUAGCUUAGUGGAACUCAAUUUGGUAACGAUAGGAAUUUUCAUCUAUCUGCUAAAGGCGCAUAAGCUUUUCAAUGAGGUUUCUCCAAUAGAUACAAGGGUAUUCGCAGCUCUAUUUCAUUUAAGUUCUCUUUUUUCUUGAUUUUUUCCUGUUUUGUUCUCUCAUUUAGUAUAUAUUUUCU
This 1034-nucleotide long non-coding RNA is filed under the name Medicago truncatula (barrel medic). RNAcentral describes it as "long non-coding RNA (MTRU_LNC003176)". The record is from RNAcentral. Lineage: Eukaryota; Viridiplantae; Streptophyta; Magnoliopsida; Fabales; Fabaceae.